AGUGAACGCUGGCGGUAGGCCUAACACAUGCAAGUCGAACGGCAGCACAGGAGAGCUUGCUCUCUGGGUGGCGAGUGGCGGACGGGUGAGGAAUACAUCGGAAUCUACUCUGUCGUGGGGGAUAACGUAGGGAAACUUACGCUAAUACCGCAUACGACCUACGGGUGAAAGCAGGGGACCUUCGGGCCUUGCGCGAUUGAAUGAGCCGAUGUCGGAUUAGCUAGUUGGCGGGGUAAAGGCCCACCAAGGCGACGAUCCGUAGCUGGUCUGAGAGGAGGAUCAGCCACACUGGAACUGAGACACGGUCCGGACUCCUACGGGAGGCAGCAGUGGGGAAUAUUGGACAAUGGGCGCAAGCCUGAUCCAGCCAUACCGCGUGGGUGAAGAAGGCCUUCGGGUUGUAAAGCCCUUUUGUUGGAAAGAAAUCCAGCUGGCUAAUACCCGGUUGGGAUGACGGUACCCAAAGAAUAAGCACCGGCUAACUUCGUGCCAGCAGCCGCCGUAA
RNAcentral lists this ribosomal RNA (505 nucleotides) under uncultured bacterium. RNAcentral's name for it is "partial 16S ribosomal RNA". It matches the Rfam family "Bacterial small subunit ribosomal RNA", at positions 29 to 523 of the family's 1533-position model. The record is from RNAcentral.